AGGCUGCUGCAACAGGAGAUCAGAAAGCUGAGGUGGUCACAAAUCACAUAUUAAAGGUCUUAGGGUUGGAUAUCUGUGCCGAUAUAAUGAUAGGAAACAAUAUGUUGCGAGGCAUAUCAGGAGGGCAAAAAAAGAGAGUAACUACAGCUGAGAUGCUUGUCACACCCGGGCGAGCCCUUUUCAUGGACGAGAUAUCAACUGGACUUGAUAGCUCGACAACCUUCCAGAUUGUGAACUCCAUCCGACAAACAAUCCACAUUAUUGGUGGAACAGCAGUCAUUGCCUUACUACAACCUGCACCAGAGACAUAUGAAUUGUUUGAUGAUAUAAUUCUCCUUUCGGAUGGUCAUGUUGUCU
Triticum dicoccoides is the source of this 357-nucleotide long non-coding RNA. RefSeq lists it as uncharacterized. The transcript is spliced from 3 exons. The record is from RefSeq and is a predicted model, not a curated record. NCBI's taxonomy places the organism in Eukaryota, Viridiplantae, Streptophyta, Magnoliopsida, Poales, Poaceae.